This is a non-coding RNA of Rattus norvegicus (Norway rat), 46 nucleotides long. The record is from Rfam. NCBI's taxonomy places the organism in Eukaryota, Metazoa, Chordata, Mammalia, Rodentia, Muridae.
CCAAAGGCUCUUUUCAGAGCCACUUUAAAAAAAAAAAAAAGCUAGU